RNAcentral lists this long non-coding RNA (539 nucleotides) under Mytilus galloprovincialis (Mediterranean mussel). Lineage: Eukaryota; Metazoa; Mollusca; Bivalvia; Mytilida; Mytilidae. The record is from RNAcentral.
CUUAUUCUUGUUAGGGGUAAUUAUCUAUAUGAAUACAGUGACAAUGGAAAUACCAAAGGAAAGUAUUGAUGCGUGUGGGAGUGAAGUCACUGUGGCCAUGCUUUGUGAAAAUGGAAAGAAGUACCCAAUGUCCGAGAGUGUUAGAUAUUUAAAAAUGGAUAUGACCACGAUGAAUCCGAUAAAUGAUCCAGAAAGACCACACAUAUGUACGACAUGCAGUAGAGGGUUCAAAAGUAAUGUAGAUCUACGAAAACACGUGAGAAUACAUACAGGUGAAAGACCAUAUGCUUGCAAACUUUGUAAUAAGACGUUCACACAAAAUGGAAACUUAACAAUGCACAUGAGAGCCCAUACUGGUGACAAACCUUUCAUUUGUGGCAUAUGCGAUCAUCGAUUUGUAAAUAGCAGUCACUUAAAGGCACAUGCGAGGAUCCAUACUGGCGAAAAAAUAAAACUACCGUUGAAACAUUUUUGUAGUGUAUGUGAAAAAGGUUUUACAAAUCAUAGGGACUUAAAGAAACACGUGAGAACCCAUACGG